GCUCACUGCAACCUCCGCCUCCCGGGUUCAAACGAUUCUCUUGCCUCAGCCUCCCGAGUAGCUGGGAUGAGAGGCGCCCACCACCACGCCCUGCUAAAUUUUUUUGUAUUUUUAGUAGAGACAGGGUUUCACCAUGUUGGCCAGGCUGGUCUUGAACUCCUGACCUCAGGUGAUCUAUCCGUCUCGGCCUCCCGAAGUACUGGGAUUAUAGGUGUGAGCCACCGUGCCUGGCCAAAAGGUUAAUUUUUAAUGAGAAAGCCAAUAUGUAUUUCCUAACUAGUUCCCCUUCCCUGGGAACAGAACACAGUGUUAUUCUGGAAUGUUAUUUGGAAAAUAUUAUAAUUUAUUGUUGUGGCUUGAUCAGGAUGUAUCCAAGACAAAUUGUCCUAUGAAGUGUGAUGCUUUUAUCCUCAUAUAACUUAUUUCCUCAGUGAAAUUUCUGCCUUGGCACUGCCAUAUCACCCCUUCAUAACUCAUAAAUCACCCACAGUCAAUCUCAGUUGACAUAAACAGUUUGCUAAUGGUAGGAAUUCGUGUUUUAAGUAGAUAUACUAUUCUUAAGCAUAUUUUCAGUUCAAAAUCUGACUGAUAUUUUGGCCUGAGACAUCAAUAAAAUAUUGUGAACGUAGAAAGGAUAGAAAAAAGGGGAGCUAACUCUCUACAAAACUGUAUGCUUGCCCUUACGGCAGCUAGAAUGAAAUGUUGUCACUCUCACUUCCAUAAACUUGCCAAUUGCUGUUUUUCUUUCUCUGUAGUGAAGUAAGAAUUCUGCUAGAGAGGAAAUGGCUGCUUCAUCAUCAUCCUCCUCAGCUGGUGGGGUCAGUGGAAGUUCUGUCACUGGAUCUGGUUUCAGUGUCUCAGACCUUGCCCCACCACGGAAAGCCCUUUUCACCUACCCCAAAGGAGCUGGAGAGAUGUUAGAAGAUGGCUCUGAGAGAUUCCUCUGCGAAUCUGUUUUUAGCUAUCAAGUGGCAUCCACGCUUAAACAGGUGAAACAUGAUCAGCAAGUUGCUCGGAUGGAAAAACUAGCUGGUUUGGUAGAAGAGCUGGAGGCUGACGAGUGGCGGUUUAAGCCCAUCGAGCAGCUGCUGGGAUUCACCCCCUCUUCGGGUUGAUGCUGCCUGGAUGGUCACCUCUGGUGUGCAGCUAGUGCAAAGCCAGUGGGGGACUUUCUCACAGCUUACAUAGCCAUCCAGAGAUCCACAGCUACAUCGCUGAAUUGUUAAUGCACAUUUGUACUUGGUUUCUCUGUAUCUAUUCACAGUCAACAAAUACUUAUAUGUGUGAUCUUUCAGGGAAUAUUUUGUUUAUUUGUUUUUAAAAGUAUUGGGAAUCAGAUUAAGACAGUCGGUUUCAGAGAACCAGGAGGUUUGGGGUUAAGAGAUACUUAAAAAUUUUCACAAGCCAGGUAGGGCAUAUAUCAGAUUUGGCCAACUGAAUGGCAUCUGUCCUGUCAUCCAUAUGGUGCCUGGAAAUAUUUACCAGUCAAGGUCAAGGUCAGCAUCUGUGGUUAAAAAUACAGCAUUCUGACCUAAAAAAGUUAUUUUGCAGAUGAAUGUGAUUUCACCUCAGGACCUAUCCAAAUGAGGAAUUUUUAAAUAUUCAUUUUUUUUUCCUAUUUUUAGACAUCAAUUCUAUAGAUUCUAACUUUUUCUAACCUCUUCUAGACAUGCCAAGUGCUGGCAAAAAGAAGUGCUUUUCGGAUAUGGCAGCACUUGUAAAAAUAAAGCAGUAAGCAAAAUCCUUUUAAACCCAGAAAUCCUGAGUUCUUCUCAUUGGUGGACUCAAGCAAUUCUGUAGCAAAUAAAUCCUUUGAAAGAGCUCCAAA
RNAcentral lists this small RNA (1828 nucleotides) under Pongo abelii (Sumatran orangutan). RNAcentral's name for it is "processed transcript". The record is from RNAcentral. Lineage: Eukaryota; Metazoa; Chordata; Mammalia; Primates; Hominidae.